GGAACCCGGUGCGAGUCCGGGGCGGUCCCGCCACUGUCACCUGCCGUGCGCAGGGAGCCAGAAC
RNAcentral lists this non-coding RNA (64 nucleotides) under Haloechinothrix halophila. The record is from RNAcentral. Lineage: Bacteria; Bacillati; Actinomycetota; Actinomycetes; Pseudonocardiales; Pseudonocardiaceae.